UCCUCGCUCAAAGAAUCGCAUUCAAAGCUUACACACAAGAUAUCUUUCGAUAUCUUUUUCCUUUACGGAAAACCAGCUUUGGGAGAAAGUCCCCGGACACCCUGACCAUUUCUUCGGAAUGGACCAGGCAAUGCGGAAACGCGCCGCCAUAGAAGCAAUUCGAUAGCGGCUUAUACGCCCUAUUCCCUCCCAGUGCCUCAGUCUAUGCUCGACGCCGUCAGGUGGUAACAAUGGUGGUAUAGCUGGGUGUUGGAGAGGGGUUUAUUGGGUUGCCAUUCGUCGUGGUUGGAUAGUUAUGCGAUUGCUCUUCUCAUUUCUGAGGGAGUAACUCAAUGGGGCUCAUUCUUGAGGCGAGG
RNAcentral lists this RNase MRP RNA (356 nucleotides) under Aspergillus cristatus. RNAcentral's name for it is "RNase MRP". It matches the Rfam family "RNase MRP". From Rfam's summary of the family: RNase MRP is an enzymatically active ribonucleoprotein with two distinct roles in eukaryotes. Lineage: Eukaryota; Fungi; Ascomycota; Eurotiomycetes; Eurotiales; Aspergillaceae. The record is from Rfam by way of RNAcentral.